CAUAUAUAAUACAUAUUGUAGUAUAUGUCUCUUUAAAAAAAAAUUAUAUGUUUUAUAAACAGAGUGAAUUAUGACUCGUGCAAUUCCAGAAGUUUCAAAGCGAUACUCGAAGGAAACGAUCGUUUUAUGCGAAUGAACCAUCAUAACUUACCGAGAAACAAGAUUUUGAUGGAUAAAGUAAUUUACGCAGUACACCAAACAGAGCUCGAGAAAUUAUUAAAAUACAUGUAUAAUAAAUGAUAUUACCAAUAUGCCAAAACCAAUCCCAAAG
RNAcentral lists this long non-coding RNA (271 nucleotides) under Mytilus galloprovincialis (Mediterranean mussel). Lineage: Eukaryota; Metazoa; Mollusca; Bivalvia; Mytilida; Mytilidae. The record is from RNAcentral.